GGGUCUCCCCGCUUGGCGUGGUCCCUAAGAAAGAACCGGGAUUUCCGGUCCUUUCUACCGGAAGCGGAUCUGGAGGGCAAGAGAUGCCCGUCGUACCUGUGGGACUUGGUGGACCGCAGCUGAUGACGCUGGUCAGAUCUUCAGUUUCCCCUGCUACAUGGCAGGCGCAUGGUCCAGGGCGUCCGGCUGUAUGGAUGAUCGGCCAUGCCUAC
This is a long non-coding RNA of Bufo bufo (common toad), 212 nucleotides long. RefSeq lists it as uncharacterized. The record is from RefSeq and is a predicted model, not a curated record. The transcript is spliced from 3 exons. NCBI's taxonomy places the organism in Eukaryota, Metazoa, Chordata, Amphibia, Anura, Bufonidae.